CCUACGGGAUGCAGCAGUGAGGUAUAUUGGUCAAUGGACGAGAGUCUGAACCAGCCAAGUAGCGUGAAGGAUGACUGCCCUAUGGGUUGUAAACUUCUUUUAUAUGGGAAUAAAACGUUCCACGUGUGGGAUUUUGUAUGUACCAUAUGAAUAAGGAUCGGCUAACUCCGUGCCAGCAGCCGCGGUAAUACGGAGGAUCCGAGCGUUAUCCGGAUUUAUUGGGUUUAAAGGGAGCGUAGAUGGAUUGUUAAGUCAGUUGUGAAAGUUUGCGGCUCAACCGUAAAAUUGCAGUUGAAACUGGCAGUCUUGAGUACAGUAGAGGUAGGCGGAAUUCGUGGUGUAGCGGUGAAAUGCUUAGAUAUCACGAAGAACUCCGAUUGCGAAGGCAGGUUCCUGAACAUUCACUGACGCUGAGGCACGAAGGCGAGGGUAGCGAAAGGGAUUAGAUACCCUUGUAGUC
Molecule: ribosomal RNA, 460 nt
Filed under: uncultured bacterium
Lineage: Bacteria
Description: partial 16S ribosomal RNA
Rfam family: Bacterial small subunit ribosomal RNA
Source: RNAcentral